CUAGCCAUGCCGCGUGAGUGAUGAAGGCCCUAGGGUCGUAAAGCUCUUUCAACUGUGAAGAUAAUGACGGUAGCAGUAGAAGAAACCCCGGCUAACUCCGUGCCAGCAGCCGCGGUAAUACGGAGGGGGUUAGCGUUGUUCGGAAUUACUGGGCGUAAAGCGUACGUAGGCGGAUUAAUAAGUUAGAGGUGAAAUCCCAGGGCUCAACCCUGGAACUGCCUUUAAAACUGUUAGUCUUGAGAUCGAGAGAGGUGAGUGGAAUUCCGAGUGUAGAGGUGAAAUUCGUAGAUAUUCGGAGGAACACCAGUGGCGAAGGCGGCUCACUGGCUCGAUACUGACGCUGAGGUGCG
This 350-nucleotide ribosomal RNA is filed under the name uncultured Paracoccaceae bacterium. RNAcentral describes it as "bacterial SSU rRNA". It matches the Rfam family "Bacterial small subunit ribosomal RNA", at positions 388 to 755 of the family's 1533-position model. Lineage: Bacteria; Pseudomonadati; Pseudomonadota; Alphaproteobacteria; Rhodobacterales; Paracoccaceae. The record is from RNAcentral.